Molecule: transfer RNA, 75 nt
Filed under: candidate division MSBL1 archaeon SCGC-AAA259E19
Lineage: Archaea; Methanobacteriati; Methanobacteriota
Also listed under: 1 other name
Description: tRNA-Met
Rfam family: tRNA
About the family: Transfer RNA (tRNA) molecules are approximately 80 nucleotides in length.
Source: RNAcentral
GGGCCCGUAGCUUAGUCCGGUUAGAGCGCCCGGCUCAUAACCGGGUGGUCGAGGGUUCGAAUCCCUCCGGGCCCA